RNAcentral lists this ribosomal RNA (254 nucleotides) under uncultured bacterium. Its description in RNAcentral is "partial 16S ribosomal RNA". It matches the Rfam family "Bacterial small subunit ribosomal RNA", at positions 524 to 776 of the family's 1533-position model. The record is from RNAcentral.
UACGUAGGGCGCAAGCGUUGUCCGGAAUUAUUGGGCGUAAAGAGCUCGUAGGCGGUCUGUUGCGUCUGCCGUGAAAACCCGAGGCUUAACCUCGUGGCGUGCGGUGGAUACGGGCGGACUUGAGGUAGGUAGGGGAGAAUGGAAUUCCCGGUGUAGCGGUGAAAUGCGCAGAUAUCGGGAGGAACACCGGUGGCGAAGGCGGUUCUCUGGGCCUUACCUGACGCUGAGGAGCGAAAGCGUGGGGAGCGAACAGG